GAUGAACGCUGGCGGCGUGCCUAAUACAUGCAAGUCGAGCGAACGGACGAGAAGCUUGCUUCUCUGAUGUUAGCGGCGGACGGGUGAGUAACACGUGGAUAACCUACCUAUAAGACUGGGAUAACUUCGGGAAACCGUAGCUAAUACCGGAUAAUAUUUUGAACCGCAUGGUUCAAAAGUGAAAGACGGUCUUGCUGUCACUUAUAGAUGGAUCCGCGCUGCAUUAGCUAGUUGGUAAGGUAACGGCUUACCAAGGCAACGAUGCAUAGCCGACCUGAGAGGGUGAGCGGCCACACUGGAACUGAGACACGGUCCAGACUCCUACGGGAGGCAGCAGUAGGGAAUCUUCUGCAAUGGGCGAAAGCCUGACGGAGCAACGCCGCGUGAGUGAUGAAGGUCUUCGGAUCGUAAAACUCUGUUAUUAGGGAAGAACAUAUGUGUAAGUAACUGUGCACAUCUUGACGGUACCUAAUCAGAAAGCCACGGCUAACUACGUG
This 497-nucleotide ribosomal RNA is filed under the name uncultured bacterium. RNAcentral describes it as "partial 16S ribosomal RNA". It matches the Rfam family "Bacterial small subunit ribosomal RNA", at positions 28 to 507 of the family's 1533-position model. The record is from RNAcentral.